GAUGAAGAACGUAGCGAAAUGCGAUACGUAAUGUGAAUUGCAGAAUUCAGUGAAUCAUCGAGUCUUUGAACGCACAUUGCGCCCCCUGGUAUUCCGGGGGGCAUGCCUGUCCGAGCGUCAUUGCUGCCCUCAAGCACGGCUUGUGUGUUGGGCCUCCGUCCUCCUCCCGGGGGACGGGCCCGAAAGGCAGCGGCGGCACCGCGUCCGGUCCUCGAGCGUAUGGGGCUUCGUCACCCGCUCUUGUAGGCCCGGCCGGCGCUUGCCGACACAUCAAUCUUUUUUCCAGGUUGACCUCGGAUCAGGUAGGGAUACCCGCUGAACUUAAGCAUAUCAAAGCGGAGGA
Molecule: unclassified non-coding RNA, 343 nt
Filed under: soil metagenome
Description: partial contains 5.8S ribosomal RNA, internal transcribed spacer 2, and large subunit ribosomal RNA
Rfam family: 5.8S ribosomal RNA (bases 1-120)
Source: RNAcentral